Molecule: ribosomal RNA, 460 nt
Filed under: uncultured Alphaproteobacteria bacterium
Lineage: Bacteria; Pseudomonadati; Pseudomonadota; Alphaproteobacteria
Description: bacterial SSU rRNA
Rfam family: Bacterial small subunit ribosomal RNA
Source: RNAcentral
CGAACGCUGGCGGCAGGCUUAACACAUGCAAGUCGAACGCCCCGCAAGGGGAGUGGCAGACGGGUGAGUAACGCGUGGGAAUCUACCCAGAUCUACGGAACAACUGAGGGAAACUUGAGCUAAUACCGUAUACGUCCGUGAGGAGAAAGAUUUAUCGCCCUUAGACGGGCCCGCGUCGGAUUAGCUAGUUGGUGGGGUAACGGCCUACCAAGGCGACGAUCCGUAGCUGAUCUUAGAGGAUGAUCAGCCACACUGGGACUGAGACACGGCCCAGACUCCUACGGGAGGCAGCAGUGGGGAAUCUUGGACAAUGGGCGCAAGCCUGAUCCAGCCAUGCCGCGUGAGUGAAGAAGGUCUUCGGAUUGUAAAGCUCUUUUGCCAGGGACGAUAAUGACGGUACCUGGAGAAUAAGCCCCGGCAAACUUCGUGCCAGCAGCCGCGGUAAUCUGAUGGCGCGAGG